UAUAUCUCAUGGAAUAACAGGUACAUGACAGGCAACAUGCACAACUUGUCCUAUAAAUACAGAUCUUGGGAAAUCCUUUAGACCAUCAAGAAUUCUCACAUUCUUCUCUUUUUCUCUCUAGCUCUCUCUCCCUCUUUCUCUCAAGCUUUUUUCUUUCUCUACAUUGCUUUUCAUCUGCAAGAAUUGGGUUGAGGAGCAAGUCAAGAAAGAACUUGAAGCUCAUGUUUUUCCUUGUUAAGUUUGUUUUGAAUUUAUAAAUUAGAGAGGAGGCACACAUGUGGAGUUGUUGACAGAAGAUAGAGAGCACAGAUGAUGAAAUGCAAAGGAAGCUAAUAAGCAUCUCACUCCUUUGUGCUCUCUAUCCUUCUGUCAGCAUCUGCAGCCCCCUCACUCCUUUGUGCUCUCUAUCCUUCUGUCAGCAUCUGCAGCCCCCUCACUCAUUGCUUAACACACACAUACCACACAUACAUAUCAGUAGCAUGCCUUUGUUAGUAAUUAAGCAUAUAUUAACUUGCCGGGAUUUUUUUUUUAUUUCUUAGUUUAUCUUUAAACUUAAUGCACAUUAUUUUGUCAAUAAAUUUAUUGAUCAUAUUACCAGAGUUAAAAGUAUUGUUGCAUGUUGUCAUUAUGUCUAGGCAUUCAUAUUGAAACUCCACUUGGAGCAACUUGUUGAAUUCAAGCACAGAAUAUGGCACCAAAAAUCUCUCUCUCUCUCUCUCUAUAUAUAUAUAUAUAUAUAUAUACUUGAUCGUCAAUCAAGAAAUUGGAUAGAUAAAUCUAUUAGUGCUUAAAUACGAAUCUAAAGUUUUUAGGAGAAGGGUUAACAUAAUUGUAUUAUAUUCUCUCCUCAUGUCUAGGCUGGGGACCAUUUUUUCAGCUCAAUUAGGUCUUUGCAUGUGGUUUGGUGUGAGACAUCAAGUUUUGAAAACAAAAUCUGAUGGACUUUUGUCUCUUAUACUAUGUUUAAUUUUCUGUAUUUCCAAAAGCUUAAGCAAUUUAACGGUGAAUUGCUAUUAUAUUUAUACUAUUACCAAAAGCUUAAGCAAUUGGUAGGUGAAUCAUUAUUACAUCUAUACUAUCUUAAUAUGGCUGUAGUACUCUUCUAAUGUUCAUGGUCUUGCUAAUUUUUUGUUUUACGAAAAUGGCGCUUAUGAAAGAACAUCUCCAAUGAGCUAACCAGGUAUGUUUUGGUCUAAACUACUAUAUGAACUCAAAUCUGAAAUCAUGUAUUCUUAAGCAAUUGAUUGCGUAAAGAGACCUUACAGAUUUUGUAAUCAUAAAAAGUAAUCAUCUGAAUAGUUUUCCAGAUUAAUGUUAGAUGCCAGAAAGCAAAAUCAUGAUCGCACAUUUAGGUAUUGGUAUAUACUUUGAGCGUCAGGAUUUUUUGAAAUGUACAUUUCAAGUGUCAAAGAUUACAUUCUUCCACAUCUCUAUCCCAAUAGUAUUUAACUGUUUUUGCUUUAAUAAUUGUUUUCAUAGUUGGAUCUACUGUAGUAUAUAUGUUGGUAUAUGGUCAUGGUGUUGAUUCUUCUAAACUUAUAUCUUUUUUCUAUGCCUUUCGGAAAAUCUUGGGUUAGAAGUUGCAUCUUUCUUUCCAAAUAUCCGGUCAAAACCAUUAACAAAGUAUACCCUGUCAUUAAACUCAGUAUUUGGCAUAUUUUACAUUUUUUGUCUUCAUUUUUUCAUUUUUACUCUAAGAAAAAUCUCAUGAACUUACAUAAAAAGUGCAAAUGGUGCGCAGUUAUAUUCCCCAACAGUAAACAGCAAAAAAUCAUUAGGAGAGGCAAGUAUUUUUGCAUAUAAAGGGCAAGAUUGGGCUCAUUUUAUGAAAUGAAAACAAAUUGAUCUUAUGAUUUGAAAAAUAAAUGUAAUUCCAUGGGUCUUAGCAAAAAAAAAAAAAAAAAUACAUGUAAUUUUCAUGAGUCUCUAUUCUCUUAACAGCUAAAAAUAAAAGCCACUUUCCCUUCCAUUUAUUAUAUAUGGGCUCUGCCAACAAAUAUGUAUAUAGGCUUCGGCCCUGUUAUAACAUUUGGAUUGUUAGGUCCAUAUCCAACUACUGGUACUGGUAGAUUUCAUUUCCCUGCAGCCCAUCCUAAGGCAUGAAACGGUGAAGGAUUUAUGAAUAAAGAAAAUGGCAAAAACAUUUAAGAAUACAAAAUUAAAAAUUAACGAAUAAUAACAAUUAGAAAACUGAAGAAACCAGUAUGAACAAGGAGAAUUUCGUGUUGAUUGGAUUAGAAAGAGGGAAGCUUUCAUGAGGAAGAAGCCCCAAGGAAGCUGAAAUACAUGGAUACGAUUUGUCACGAGGAAGCGUGUGCAAGUAUUUGGAAACUAAUUUCUUGGCAUAUAGUUUUGAAUUAACUGCCAGUCUUGGGCUCCAACUACGGGUCGUGCACUCAUUAACUUCUUCUAAGUUCUACAUCCUUCUAAUCUCUCCUUAUUAUAAGCAAACACAUGCAUAGUUUAGCUUCCACUUGCAAUAUCAAUGACUCACCACAAGCAUCCUCCACCUCCAGGCCCACCACCGCCUAAUCCUUUCACUGCUCCUCCACCUCUGCCUCCGCCUUCGCCUCCGCCAGGACCAAUAGAGCCUCCACCGCCUUGGCCGCCUAUCCUGCCACCAUCAAGUCCACAUGGACCACCACCAGAACCACCUGGUCCUCCUCCCCCACCCCCUUAGCUUCACCAUCACCCUCCCCCACCACCUUAUUAAUGAUAGACCUCUUUAUGUACUAUUACCUCAUGAUCAUCUUAUGUAAAGAAAAUAAAUUAUGUGCUUAUCAAUUUCUUUUUUGUUUCUUUCUAGUAGUUAUUUGGUAGGGGAAGUCAUUUGGUUUAUCAAACUCCGAUGGUGUUUUCAGAGCACGGUGAUCGAUAUUUGACAUGUAAAUUAAUCAGUAAUAAAAAUAUCGAUAUCGAAGAUAUGAUUUUAUAAAAAAUUCGAUAUCGAUAGAAAUGUCAAUAAAAUUAUAAAAACUGUAAAUAUUUAAUUAAAAAUACAAAUUUUUACAUAUAAGAUAAUGAAUAUAACAAAAUAAUAUAAAAAUAUAAUGAUGAUAAAAUAGUUCAUAAAUAUUAAAAAUUAUUAUAAAUAAAAAAAUAUAAUAUUUAUAACACCAAAAUAUAAAAAAUUUAAUAAAUAAUAUCAAAAUACAUGAAAUUUUCAAAUACAAUUUACAUUAUUUUCAUUCCCUUAUUAUUAUUGUUUUUUAAAUCCUUAUCUGUAAAUUUAUUUAUUUAUUUAAACUUUUACUUUUUCACAGGUGAUUUAUUACAUAUUAUUGUUUUUUAUUUAAAUUCAGUGUAAAAGUAGUUUUGAUAAAUCAUGAACAAAUUAAAUUUAGAUUUAUGAAAAAAUAUAAAUUUAAACGUGGAAAUUAUCACCAUAGAAUGGAAGCUUUUUAGCAUGAAUCACGAAUCAUGAAUCACCCAUCUCCUAUCACUAAUCAUGAAGAAUUCCAUAAUGGUAAAAGAAACAUUGAAGCUUUUUAGCACAGUGGAAGUAAAUUAAACAAAAUUUAAAGUUGGUUUUGAGGUCAAAGGAAGAAAGGAGAAAAAAAAAAAAAAAAUUUCUUAUUUUUAUUUGGCAGACACAGAGAAAGCCAAGCAAAAGCGAAAAGAAAAACCCAUAGAGAACAGAAGCUCUCUCUCUUUGGGAGCUCAAAGACCACUACUCCAACGGACUUCUCCUUCUGUGCUCUUUUUUCUUUUUUCUCUUCUCUAAUCAAGUAAGCAGGUCCCCUUCUAUCUUCCAUCGAAAGAGAUGAAAAAGAGAGACAGCCGAGAUUUCCAAAAUUUUCCAAUCGACAACCGACAUCUUCACUAGGUUCCCAUCAUUAUCCACUGAAAACUCAAGAUUUCUACCGAUUUCAGAUGAUAUUAGUAAUAUUUUGUGGGAACAACGACAUUUAUCUAGCAUCACGAACAGAUAUUUCUUUCCCCCUCUGUUGGUGUCACCGGUCGCCGAAAUUUCAAAGUUCUCGACGACUUUUUCUUCUUUGAAAUUAAUUAUAUAUUUGGCAAACUAAUACAAUAAUGCUAUCUUAUCCCCUACGUAGAUACUUAAUAUGAUAUCA
Long non-coding RNA from Ziziphus jujuba (common jujube), 4076 nucleotides. RefSeq lists it as uncharacterized. The record is from RefSeq and is a predicted model, not a curated record. Lineage: Eukaryota; Viridiplantae; Streptophyta; Magnoliopsida; Rosales; Rhamnaceae. The transcript is spliced from 2 exons.